GACGAACGCUGGCGGCGUGCCUAAUACAUGCAAGUUGAGCGAUGAAGAUUGGUGCUUGCACCAAUUUGAAGAGCAGCGAACGGGUGAGUAACGCGUGGGGAAUCUGCCUUUGAGCGGGGGACAACAUUUGGAAACGAAUGCUAAUACCGCAUAACAACUUUAAACAUAAGUUUUAAGUUUGAAAGAUGCAAUUGCAUCACUCAAAGAUGAUCCCGCGUUGUAUUAGCUAGUUGGUGAGGUAAAGGCUCACCAGGGCGAUGAUACAUAGCCGACCUGAGAGGGUGAUCGGCCACAGUGGGACUGAGACACGGCCCAAACUCCUACGGGAGGCAGCAGUAGGGAAUCUUCGGCAAUGGACGAAAGUCUGACCGAGCAACGCCGCGGGAGUGAAGAAGGUUGUCGGAUCGUAAAACUCUGUUGGUAGAGAAGAACGUUGGUGAGAGUGGAAAGCUCAUCAAGUGACGGUAACUACCCAGAAAGGGACGGCUAACUACGUG
Molecule: ribosomal RNA, 497 nt
Filed under: uncultured bacterium
Lineage: Bacteria
Description: partial 16S ribosomal RNA
Rfam family: Bacterial small subunit ribosomal RNA
Source: RNAcentral